GCACGGGUGAGUAACACGUAUCCAACCUGCCGAUAACUCGGGGAUAGCCUUUCGAAAGAAAGAUUAAUACCCGAUAGUAUAAUUAGACCGCAUGGUCUUAUUAUUAAAGAAUUUCGGUUAUCGAUGGGGAUGCGUUCCAUUAGGCAGUUGGUGAGGUAACGGCUCACCAAACCUUCGAUGGAUAGGGGUUCUGAGAGGAAGGUCCCCCACAUUGGAACUGAGACACGGUCCAAACUCCUACGGGAGGCAGCAGUGAGGAAUAUUGGUCAAUGGGCGCAGGCCUGAACCAGCCAAGUAGCGUGAAGGAUGACUGCCCUAUGGGUUGUAAACUUCUUUUAUAUGGGAAUAAAGUUUUCCACGUGUGGAAUUUUGUAUGUACCAUAUGAAUAAGGAUCGGCUAACUCCGUGCCAGCAGCCGCGGUAAUACGGAGGAUCCGAGCGUUAUCCGGAUUUAUUGGGUUUAAAGGGAGCGUAGGUGGACAGUUAAGUCAGUUGUGAAAGUUUGCGGCUCAACCGUAAAAUUGCAGUUGAUACUGGCUGUCUUGAGUACAGUAGAGGUGGGCGGAAUUCGUGGUGUAGCGGUGAGAUGCUUAGAUAUCACGAAGAACUCCGAUUGCGAAGGCAGCU
This 627-nucleotide ribosomal RNA is filed under the name uncultured Bacteroidales bacterium. RNAcentral describes it as "bacterial SSU rRNA". It matches the Rfam family "Bacterial small subunit ribosomal RNA", at positions 100 to 726 of the family's 1533-position model. Lineage: Bacteria; Pseudomonadati; Bacteroidota; Bacteroidia; Bacteroidales. The record is from RNAcentral.